ACGGAUGAAGGUGAUUAUCAGGUUAAGCUUCGCAACUUACGUAAGUUCUUAGAAGCUGGCGAUAAAGCUAAAAUUACCAUCCGCUUCCGUGGCCGUGAAAUGGCUCACCAAGAAAUUGGCAUCGAACUAUUAAACCGCGUUAAAGGCGAUUUAGAAGAUUUAGCAGUCGUUGAGUCUUUCCCAAAUCGCGUUGAAGGCCGUCAAAUGGUUAUGAUGAUGGCACCUAUUGCUAAAAAGUAAUUUUUAAGUAAUAAUGCGCACCGAAUUUAGCUCAGGUCUGCAAGCAAUAUGCAAAUAUUCACCUGAGUUAACCGGUUUUAAAGUAAAGUUGC
This 332-nucleotide unclassified non-coding RNA is filed under the name Pseudoalteromonas marina. RNAcentral's name for it is "Long range pseudoknot". The record is from RNAcentral. Lineage: Bacteria; Pseudomonadati; Pseudomonadota; Gammaproteobacteria; Alteromonadales; Pseudoalteromonadaceae.